CUUAACUUAAGAGUGACGGGCAAUUUGUGCACAAAAUAAUUGCUUUUCAUAGAGAAAUUUUUUUUCUAUAAUUAUAAUUAAGUCCUUUUUAGAAUCUUUUUCCUUUUUUCACUAGUUUUUUUUUCUAUGUAUCCCACUUCAACUUUUUUAUUUCCUUUGCCUUGAUCUGUCUUUUUUACAUUUUUAUUAUAGAACUUUAAGAUUAGUCUUUGUUCUUUACGAUGGUAUAAAUAGUUAAAAAAAAAGUUUUUAAUCGUGGGGUAUCUAUUAUUGAGCAGGAUCCCCUAAAUGAGUAUUUUGCCGCCAUUUCAUUUGGCUUUCUUUUAUAUAAAUAAUCUCCUUUUUUCUUUUAAAA
This 355-nucleotide ribosomal RNA is filed under the name Epitrimerus spiraeae. RNAcentral describes it as "partial small subunit ribosomal RNA". Lineage: Eukaryota; Metazoa; Arthropoda; Arachnida; Trombidiformes; Eriophyidae. The record is from RNAcentral.